RNAcentral lists this small RNA (127 nucleotides) under Marmota monax (woodchuck). Lineage: Eukaryota; Metazoa; Chordata; Mammalia; Rodentia; Sciuridae. The record is from RNAcentral.
GCUGGGUAUGGUGGUGCAUGCCUGUAAUCCCAGUGGCUUGGGAGGCUGAGGCAGAAGGAUCAUAAGUUCAAAGCCAGCCUCAGCAACUCAGCGAGGCACUUAACAACUCAGUGAGACCAUGUCUCUA